Molecule: long non-coding RNA, 2241 nt
Organism: Ficedula albicollis (Collared flycatcher)
Lineage: Eukaryota; Metazoa; Chordata; Aves; Passeriformes; Muscicapidae
Exons: 3
Source: RefSeq, a predicted model, not a curated record
UACAUGGAAGAGGAAACUGGAGAGCCACAGUUCUACUGAAACCAUUCUGUAGUGUGUAGAUAAUCUGAUAAUCUCUGCUUUUAGAACAGGCAGGAAACUGAAACUACUUCAAGAUGAGUCCUUAAGUGCAGCUUGAGCAAACAAGUCCAGGCACACCUCAGAACACCUUGAGAUGGCUGUCAAAAGUGAUUUGUGUCCUCACAGCUUUGGUUUUCUGAGAACUUGGUUCCUUACUGCAAAGGAGAAGUUGUGAGAGUCUGCAGAUGAAGCCUGGAGGUGAUGAGAAAGGGACAGAAUUUCUUCAAACUGUACAUAGACUUGGGAGCUCAGUGAUGUGGAAACUGAUCCAUCCAGGGCAGAAGCAGGCAGGAUUUCUGAUUCAGCAAACCUUAUUCCCUCAUUUAGAUCUCACUGGUAAGGAAAUCUCAAAGGCUGUGUUUGCCAUUGUCAUUUCAAGUUACAGAAACAUACCACAAUUUAAAAAACCCAGAUCUGCAGUCUCCAUGGGUCUUACAUUUAGUGACCUUAGGAGGGCCUAAACUCAGCAUAAACUUAUGAUUUCAAACUAAAGAGCCUUGGUUGGUUAAAAUGUCCUUUGGAAGCUGGUCAAGAGGAGGCAAGGAUGUGUAGAAGACUGGUUGUUUGGGGAGCAAAUAAAAACAGUUAUUCAGGUGCAGACAACUUUGGGACAAAAUAAGCACCUUGGGACCUUCAGUGUAACAAAUAUUAAGAAAAUCCCUUUGAUCAGUCUAUGGCUAUCACUUGAUGGAAAAACAAAAUAGAAGGAAUAAUCUCUGUUUUCUCACUGGCUUGAGCCUGGCUUUGCUUUGCAAAGUCUGGGGUGUGGGUCCCCAGUGAUUGUUUACUCUGUACAAACCUCCCUUUCCAAGAGCUUCCAGAGGGGCCAAGGACUUUGUGAGUUUGGAGAUCAGGUUCCUUUUCCUCCACUAUCAUCCCAUCAAAACAUUGACGUGGCAAAUAGGGUGAUGGUUUGGGAUAUGAGGUAAAAUCCUGAAGCUUGAUAAAUUGAUGUCUAAAGUCUUUUCUGCACUUCUGCACUGUUGGGAUGAAAUCUUUUAGAAGACCUCUUCAGGUGCUCAGAGCUUCUCUCAAUUCUCACCCACUCUCCUGGGGGUGGAUGUGGGCACUAAUCACACUCAAAUUCACCUCAAGGUAAAAAUAGGGAUAUUUCCUGCCCUCUGUAUUUAGAGUUUAUAUCCAUAAUGCCUCAUAACUUGAGCUAUGGGGAGUGGUUUCUUUGCUCUGUGCUGUCAGUGGGCUCAUCCCCACAGUGCUUUAGAGCUGGGGGUUUGCAGGGAGGAGGAAGAGGAGGAGGAGGAGGGGGAAGAUGAAGCUGUUUAUUUCAGCAUCUCUUACCGCAUAUUCUUGCGCUGAGCACCUUGGCAACCCACUGAGCAUCACGUUCUCCUCACAUGGCUGUGCUCCAGCUGGGGGACUCAUUCGGCUUAAACUUGCAGAUCAUUUAAAGAAAUGUUUAAAAGUGAGGUGUGACUCGGUGUGAGUUUGCCGAGGAAUGCACCUCGCUGUGACAGCAGCACGAGCUGGGUGCUGAAUAACGAUUCCAUCACUGCUGAGCUUUCCUUUUGGCAUCGUGCUGGGGACAAUUGCCACAUGCAGAAAAAAGGGGUAGGAGAGCAGCACUCGGGGGUGUGGGUACAACAGAGAUGGGGAGCUCUGAGGAACGCCCCGGUUUCCCAGCCACGCUGAGGCUGUGGAAGGGCAGAGCUGCUCGUGGGGCGCUUCCCCAGCUGCCGUGGCUGAACGCUGCGGUGUCCGUGGGAUGCUGAGCGAGCCCUGCAGAGGAGGGGCCGCGUGUGCCGGGGCCCGGCUCUAAAUGCGGCCGCGGGAAGAGCUGCAGGGCAGAUAAAGAAAGGAGUGCAGAGAGCCCCGGGGCGAGCGGCAGAGCUCAGCCUGCCCAGCACAGCGCUGCCUUAGUAGGCAGCAGCCACCCCCAGCUCAGCCCGAUGUGUUACCGCGCCCUCCACCAUCCAGAGCUGCCCGACCAUGGAAUUCGACCCUGGUAUUUUUAAACCUCACACUGCUACGUUUGAAGGGUCUCAGACGUGUCACCUCAUUUGGAUUAUGCUGUUUGCCAGCAGGGUGCUGCUAUCAGGGGCUGGAGUCUAGGAGGCAUUACAUUUAAUGUAAAACACAUUCUUAAGCUGUCUCUUACUCCAAACAAAAUCUGGUGUUUGGGCUUUGGACCAGAGCAUUACAGAC